CACUACGAGUGAAAACUUAAACUUAAAGACUGACGGUACUUCACACCCAACCUAGAGGAGCCUGUCUACUAACCGAUAACCCACGAUUAAUCCAACCACUCCUGGCCACCCAGCCUAUAUACCGCCGUCGCCAGCCCACCUUGUGAAAGAAACCAAGUGAGCAAAAUAGUACUACACUAACACGACAGGUCGAGGUGUAGCUUACGAAGUGGAACAAGAUGGGCUACAUUAUCUAACCCAGAUAACACGGACAAAGCCAUGUAAUCUGACUUUAAAAGGAGGAUUUAGCAGUAAGAUGAGAACAGAAUACUCAACUGAAAAUAUUGCAAUGAAGUGCGUACACACCGCCCGUCA
RNAcentral lists this ribosomal RNA (354 nucleotides) under Corallus caninus (emerald tree boa). RNAcentral describes it as "partial small subunit ribosomal RNA". It matches the Rfam family "Microsporidia small subunit ribosomal RNA", at positions 755 to 1202 of the family's 1311-position model. The record is from RNAcentral. Lineage: Eukaryota; Metazoa; Chordata; Lepidosauria; Squamata; Boidae.